Molecule: long non-coding RNA, 3634 nt
Filed under: Sus scrofa (pig)
Lineage: Eukaryota; Metazoa; Chordata; Mammalia; Artiodactyla; Suidae
Description: lncRNA (ENSSSCG00000059252.1)
Source: RNAcentral
AAAGACGACAAUACCGUUUAUCUUAAGAAAACAGACAUUAUUCAGCACAGGCUCUUCCAUAGAAUGAACUUGCAUGUAUUUUUAUUCAUGUUGACUUUUAUUUUAAGUCAAUUCUUAUCUUACUGAGAGCAACAGGGAAUCACAUAUGUUAUCAGAGGUGAAGUCUGUAAUGUGGCCACCCAUAAUAGAAGCUGAUGAGAGGUGAGGAGAGAAGAAAGAGACCAAACCUCACCCAUGUCUGGGACAUUGGCAACUAUAUCAGAGUAACUCUUCAGCAGUACCCUGGAGAACCACCAAAACCAUGAUUUGGGAGCAUGUGGGCUCAAGGUUUGUAGAAACCACUGAAAGCCAGAAAUGGGCCAACACUGACAACCAAAGAGAUUAGAUAGCCAUUUGCCAGGGAAAGUUACACAUGGAAACACAUGGAAGUACUCCUUCUCCCUUCUCUGUCCCAACCCAAACAAGAAACAGGGAAGGAGGAAGAAAUGUGAGAAAGCAGGGUACUCUGCACCAUCUCCCUACUCCUUGAUUACCACUCACCCUCACCAUUACCCACUGCCCCCAAAACACAGAGACCCACUAGGACAUCAGUCUAGCCUCUACCAAGGGAAGGGGAAGAUCUCUGAAUCUAACAUGAGGUUGAAACUUAAGAACAUAAAAACAAUUUCUUAGCAAUAAAAUCAAUACAUUUUAACUGAAAAGCUACAGGAUCUCCGGCUGUGACUAAGGGGGCGAGCACACUACCCAGGGAGUGUUUAAUAAAAAGAUAUCAUUUAUAUCUUCAGUAUUUCAGACUCUUCUACCAAACUAAUUUUGUUAAUUUCCAUUGUCACAUACUUUCCAAAUAUAAUCCUUCCCCCAGUUUUUUACCUGCAACCAAGUAUGCCUUUUGCUCCUUCUGCUUAGUCAUUCUAUUCCUAGCCAGUUCCACUGAGACCCACUAGUAAUAGACACAUGGUUCAUAUUUGGAUUUGACCGAUGUGUAUUGAUAUUGGCUGCACUGGGUAUUAAAAUGUUCAAGUACCUCGUAUAAAUAUAGUUGGUAAAGAGGCACUGGCUUAAAUCCCCUUUCUCCCACUGCCACUGCAGACUUGGCCUCCCCUCCAGGAAUUUCCAAAUCUUAAAGAAAAAAGGGUUAAAAUGAUAGUAUAGUACUACAGGGAAGUCUCUUGGUCCCUGCUCCAUUAAGGGGACCUCUAUUUGAGUGCCACUGAUGAUAUAUUUUACAUUUUGAAUAUAAACAGUCUUAAAUACAAAGAAAAUGAGGUAGGUAUCUUCAAACAAGUAUCUCUCUCAAAUGGUCAAUUAUUACCUUGCCAGUGGACACCUCUAUUGGCAAACAUGCCUAGUCUUUCUAGACUUUCAGAUAUUGCUUCAUUUUCUUAUCCUCUGAUGUUGUACAUUUGCUUAUGUUAAACUCCCUUCGUUGACUGCUUUACUGAUCUGCCACAUUUUAUCACCAGACUUCCCAGAUAAUGGAGUUGCUCUCUGAACUAAGUUUAUAGUGUCUUGAGAAAGAUCUCCUUAAAAAAUAUCUACCAUAUUUCUGUCUGUAAUUCCAGACUGAGUUCCUAAUUGUAUAUACCUCCUGUCUCCCUGUAUCUGCCACACAACAAUACAUAAAUCCAUUUUUUUCCACCAAAGAAAAUUCAUCAAUCUUAUCUAAAUUACUCAAAUGCUGGUAGUACUGAAGAUCUAUGGUGAUAAAAUCAUAUAGUUUAAUGUAAAAUUUUGAAUUCAGGGAAAGGAAGAGCCUUUCUUUAUUAGCAUACAGUAAAAAUUUUUGAGGGUAAGGGAGCAAUCUAUGUUUCAGGGAAACACAAGGGCUUGAAGUUUGUUGUCCUCCAAGAUCUGCUCCAGUAUCUUUGACUCACAUUCUUAUUAUCUUUACUUAUAUACUUGAUAUUUUCCCAGGGCUUCAGACUUAAAUGUACAACUACUUUUUAUUUCUCUGUGUGGACUGCUAGAUAAUACCUCUUCAUUUGCUCCACCAUUUCUACUCAGCCAUUAUACAUAUUCCUCAAUCAUAAGAGCUCUUAAACCUCAACAAUUAGAAAAUAGCAAUCUAAUUAUGAACCAGAAAAACUACGAAUAGAUAUUUCAUUGAGAAGAUGCACAGAUGCCAUAUAAGCACAUGAAAAGAUGUUCAAAAUCAUUAGCCGUUAGAGAAAUAAAAAUUAAUACUAUAGUGAGAUUUGACUAUAUACCUACUAGAAUGGCUAAAAUAAAAAACAAUGACAACAGCAAGUGUUGGCAGGGAUGCAGACAAGAAAGGUACAUGUCACUUUGAAACUCUACUCAUGGAGUUCCCACUGUGGCGCAGUGGUUAACAAAUCUGACUAGGAACCAUGAGGUUGCAGGUUUGAUCCCUGGCCUUGCUCAGUGGGUUAAGGAUCCGGUGUUGCCGUGAGCUGUGGUGUAGGUUGCAGACGCGACUCACAUCCUGCAUUGCUGCGGCUCUGGUGUAGGCCGGUGGCUACAGCUCUGAUUGGACCCCUAGCCUGGGAACCUCCAUAUGCUGCGGGAGCAGACCUAAAAGACAAAAGGAAAAAAAAAAAGAAACCUCUACUCUUGGUUUGUACGCUGCCACCAUGUUUUGAGCUUCUCUUGUUUUGUGCUCACAUGAAUUCUUUGUGAAGGGUAUAGUUCUCUUCUUUUAAGACCACCAAUGCUAUCAAGGUCAAGAACUCACCCUAUAUCAUAAACUCAUUUGUCUCCUAAAACCCUUAUUUCUAAAUUUGAGGACACGAUUCACUCCAUAGAAAUUAGUUUCCUCUGCUAUAUAACAAAUUACCACAAAUUUAGCAGCUUAAAACGCAUAUUUAUUAUUUUUUGGUUUCUGUGCACAGCUUCAUGAAUGAUUUGGCUUGGUGCUUUUCACGUCUGCAAUCCAGAGGUCAGGUGAGGCUGGGUUCUUAUCAAGCAGCUCCACUGUCAACAUAUCUACUUUCAACUUGUAUGAAAAAAUCAUGCCAGUGUUGUCCUUUACUCUCACUCACAAUACUUCUAACAUCAUAUGUGUGUAUUUUUCACAUUAAGCAUUUAUCAGAUAACAACUGCGGAUUCUACAAUCCAAUCCAUUUCUGAAAGUAACCAGAGUUAGCUUAGCAAAGAUCCCACGGUUUAAGGGCUCAGUUCCAGGACUGUCCGCAUCACUCACACAUGCACAAUUUAGAUGCCAAUCUCAAGUCCAAGUUGUUAUCUGUGCUUCCAAUCAAGUGGCUAUAAAUCAGAGCUCCCCAUGACCUACAUCCUCAGGUUUGAUUAAUUUGCAAGUGUGGCUCACAGAACUCAGUUUACUUACUAGAUUACUGGCUUAUUACAAGUAUAUUAAAGGCAUGUGGAUGUAUUCACCAGCCCAUAAGCUCUCCAAACCCCUUAUUUGGGGGAUUUUUUUGAGACUUCAUCAUAUAGGUAUAUCCAUCACACUCAGUCUCUAGCCCCUUUAAAAAGUGGGAGGAGGGACAGGAAGCUCUAAACUUCUCAUCAUGGCUUGGUCUUUUCGGUGAACAGCCCCCAUCAUUAAGCGAUCUAGGAGUCUAUCAAUAGUCAUGUCACUAGAAUACAAAACAUUCCUGUCUCCCAGCAUAUUUCAAAGGGUUUUUGAAACUCUGCAUCAGUAACUGGGUCAAAG